RNAcentral lists this long non-coding RNA (2431 nucleotides) under Pan troglodytes (chimpanzee). RNAcentral describes it as "long non-coding RNA NONPTRT007199". Lineage: Eukaryota; Metazoa; Chordata; Mammalia; Primates; Hominidae. The record is from RNAcentral.
GAGAAAUGUUUGUUAAAUUUAGAUGUCAAUGAAGAGCUUCCAGCCAGAAGAAAACGAAAUCGUGAGGAUGGGGAAAAGACAUUUGUUGCACAAAUGACAGUAUUUGAUAAAAACAGAUGGAAUCUCGCACUGUCUCCCAGGCUGGAGUGCAGUGGUGCGAUCUCUGCUCACUGCAACCUCUGCCUCCAGGCUUCCAGUGAUUCUCCUGCUUCAGCCUCCCGAGUAGCUGGGACUACAGGCGCACCUCACCACACCCAGCUUAUUUUUAGUAGAGACGAGGUUUCACUAUGUUGGCCAGGAUGGUCUCGAUCUCCUGACCUCGUGAUCUGCCCACCUCAGCCUCCCAAAGUGCUGGGAUAAUAUGCAUGACCCACAGUGCCCGGCCUAUGCUUUUUUUCUUUUUUUUGAGAUGGAGUCUCGCUCAGUCACCCAGGCUGGAGUACAGUGGCGCGAUCUCAGCUCACUGUAACCUCCGCCUCCCAGGCUCAAGCAAUUCUCAUGCCUCAGCCUCCUGAGUGGCUGGGAUUAUAGGUGUGUGCCACCACACCCUGCUAUUUUUUUUUUUUUUUUUUUUUUUUUUUUGAGACGGGUCUCGCCCUGUUGCCAGGCUGAAGUGCAAUGGCUCACUGCAACAUUUGCCUCCCGGGUUCAAGUGAUUCUCCUGCCUCACUCUCCCUAGUUGCUGGGAUUACAGGUGUGCGCUACCACAUCCAGCUAAUUUUUCUAUUUUUAGUAAAGAUGGGGUUUCACCAUGUUGGCCAGGGUGGUGUCUUGAUCUCCUAACCUUGUGAUCCACCCACCUCAGCCUCCCGAAGUGCUGGAAUUACAGGCGGGAGCCAUUGCGCCUGGCCUAAUAUUUGUAUUUUUAGUAAAGAUGGGGUUUUACCAGGUUGACCAGGCUGGUCUCGAACUCCUGACCACAAGUGAUCCAACCGCCUCGGCCUCCCAAAGUGCUGGGAUUACAAGCGUGAGCCACUGCGUCCAGUCUCUUGGCCUCUAAAAUUUUUUUUUUUUUUUGAAACGGUGUCUUGCUGUGUCACCCAGGCUGGAGUGCAGUGGCGUGAUCUCGGCUCACUGCAAGCUCCGCCUCCCAAGUUCAUGCCAUUCUCCUGCCUCAGCCUCCCGAGUAGCUGGGACCACAGACACCCACCACCAUGUCCAGCUAAUUUUUUGUAUUUAUAGUAGAGAUGGGGUUUCACCAUGUUAGCCAGGAUGUUCUCGAUCUCCUGACCUCGUGAUCCGCCCGCCUCAGCCUCCCAAAGUGCUGGGAUUACACGUGUGAGCCACCGUGCCUGGCCAGGCCUCUAAAUUUUUAAGAUUUACUUUUUAAUUUUGUGUGUGUGUAUAUAUAUGUGUGUGCGUGUGUGUGUGUGUGUGUGUGUUUGAGACAGAGUUUCGCUCUUGUUGCCCAGGCUGGAGUGCAAUGGCAUGAUCUCAGCUCACUGCAACCUCUGCCUCCUGGGUUCAAGCAAUUCUCCUGCCUCAGCCUCCCAAGUAGCUGGGAUUACAGGCAUAUGUGCCACCAUGCCCAGCAGAUUUUGUAUUUUUAGUAGAGAUGGGGUGUCUCCAUGUUGCUCAGGCUGGUCUCGAACUCCCGACCUCAGGUGAUCCACCUGCCUCGGCCUACCAAAGUGCUGGGAUUACAGGUGUGAGCCACUAUGCCCAGCCUAAGAUUGACUUUUGAGAGAUAUUCUACUUACCUCUACUUACCAAGAGGAAAAGAGAUAUAAACAUAUUAAAUAACAAGCAUUUUAUAUACAUUUCCCAGUUAAUCUACGUAAUAACCCUAUGAAUACAGAUGAGAAAAGUACAGCUACAGGAAAUAAAGAAGCCUUCCCACAGUAACACUGCCUAUAAAUGACGGAAUAAACUCAGGAUGUUUUGAAUUCAAAGCUUAUGUAUGCUCUAUGCACUUCACUCUGCUUCCUGAGGCAGGUGAGAUGUUUAAUAUCUACUUGCCUGAAUGUUAAUGUCUGCCCACAGAAAUAAGUCGGAGCUCUGGAGUAGAGAACACCCGAUGAUUCAGAAUCGUUCCGGAGUGCUAUAUUUCUUCGACUGCUCAGACUGUACCCCUCAAAACCAGCUGUCCACUCUUUUUCAAGGCAAAGAUAUUGAAAACUGUUAGAAUCUCUUGAGGGAUAUCUUCAAUACAGACACGUUAAAUAAAACAUGGAAAUGGGAGACUACUCUUAGGGGCCAUGGUCAAGUUCAGUAAAAUAAAAGAUUCCAUUAACAGGGUAUCAUGAUCAGUCCCACAAAUUACAAAAAAGAUUUUAGUAUAUUCCUGCAUAAUUUUGACAUAAUAAAUCAAACAAGUGUUAUCUCUUAUCUAAUAAAAUCAUGGUACAAGCAUAAUUGCUUGAACUUAUUCCAACCUGAUAAAAAUCUAAUUAAUAAAUGAGUCUACAUCUUCUAAAAAAGAAUGCAGGGG